GGGCGCUUAGCUCAGCCGGCUAGAGCACCUCGUUUACACCGAGGGGGUCGGGGGUUCAAGUCCCUCAGCGCCCA
RNAcentral lists this transfer RNA (74 nucleotides) under Pirellulaceae bacterium. RNAcentral's name for it is "tRNA-Val". It matches the Rfam family "tRNA". From Rfam's summary of the family: Transfer RNA (tRNA) molecules are approximately 80 nucleotides in length. Lineage: Bacteria; Pseudomonadati; Planctomycetota; Planctomycetia; Pirellulales; Pirellulaceae. The record is from RNAcentral.